This 597-nucleotide ribosomal RNA is filed under the name Cephalobyrrhus sp. FC_396. RNAcentral describes it as "SSU rRNA". It matches the Rfam family "Eukaryotic small subunit ribosomal RNA", at positions 22 to 602 of the family's 1831-position model. Lineage: Eukaryota; Metazoa; Arthropoda; Insecta; Coleoptera; Limnichidae. The record is from RNAcentral.
AGUCAUAUGCUUGUCUCAAAGAUUAAGCCAUGCAUGUCUCAGUACAAGCCAAAUUAAGGUGAAACCGCGAAAGGCUCAUUAAAUCAGUUAUGGUUCCUUAGAUCGUACCCACAUUUACUUGGAUAACUGUGGUAAUUCUAGAGCUAAUACAUGCAAACAGAGCUCCGACCGGAGACGGAAGGAGCGCUUUUAUUAGAUCAAAACCAAUCGGCGGCGGGUCCGUCGUCGUACAACCUGGUGAAUCUGAAUAACUUUCUGCUGAUCGCAUGGUCUCGCACCGGCGACGCAUCUUUCAAAUGUCUGCCUUAUCAACUGUCGAUGGUAGGUUCUGCGCCUACCAUGGUUAUAACGGGUAACGGGGAAUCAGGGUUCGAUUCCGGAGAGGGAGCCUGAGAAACGGCUACCACAUCCAAGGAAGGCAGCAGGCGCGCAAAUUACCCACUCCCGGCACGGGGAGGUAGUGACGAAAAAUAACGAUACGGGACUCAUCCGAGGCCCCGUAAUCGGAAUGAGUACACUCUAAACCCUUUAACGAGGAUCAAUUGGAGGGCAAGUCUGGUGCCAGCAGCCGCGGUAAUUCCAGCUCCAAUAGCGUAU